Long non-coding RNA from Balaenoptera ricei (Rice's whale), 1625 nucleotides. RefSeq lists it as uncharacterized. The transcript has 4 exons. The record is from RefSeq and is a predicted model, not a curated record. NCBI's taxonomy places the organism in Eukaryota, Metazoa, Chordata, Mammalia, Artiodactyla, Balaenopteridae.
GCUGGGAAGGGGAUGCUGCGGUUCUACAUUUCUGUCAAUCUCCUACACUUGGUUAGCAAGGCCUUGAACCCAGAGAUUCUCAAUAAUGCUGUACAUAAGAAUCACAUGGGAAGCUUUUAAAAACACUGCUGCCCAGGUCCCACCCCAGAACAAUUCAGUUGGAAUCUCUGUGGUGGGGCUCAGCAUCCAUAGGUUUUAAAAACUCCCCUGGUGAUUCCAGUGUGCAGCCAGAAACAGUGGGUGCUGGUUCCCUGGAGUACCCCCAGUGCCUGAGCUGAGGUGGGAGGGAAGUGAGGUGUGGGGUCAGGUCUGGUGUCUGAGCAAAUGAUCCAGUAUCACAAAGGGCAAGAGAUUUCUUAGGAAUGGACCAUUUGCUCCUUAGUGGAGGUGAAGGGAGGGAUUUCUGAAGGAAUUCUUUGGCGUGGGGCUAUCUGCUAACCCAGGUCACAUCCUCCCAGGACCAAGAACAGACCCGUGCCUUCACCUUAUCAAGCAAGUCAGAGCUCCCCACAGCUGCUCCGGGGGCUGGGCUAACAUGCCCCCAAGCAGUUCAGACAUUUUCAGAACCUUACUAGGGCAGUGGGAGGAGGUGCUGCCAGCUGCUCCCACACCCUGCCCCCUCUGCCCUGCUAGAGAAAGAGCCAGAUGAGUCCAGAGAUUACAAACCCUGGAUCAACAUGGACUAUUCAGGAUGAAGCGCCACGGUCCUGGGUUCUGACGCCCUCUGGUGGACACCUAGAGUUGAAGUUGGUAACCAACAAGCAGACUACCACGUCCAGCAUAAUGCCCUCCAAGUCCAUCCACGUUGCUGCACAUGGCAAAAUUUUGUUCUCUUUUAUGGGUCACUUCUCCAAGCUUUACUCCCAUCCACAGUCUGUUUGCCUGUGUUUACUUUUUAAGUCCUCAGGAUGUACACCACCAAGAGUGAAUCAUAAUGUCAACUAUGGACGAUAAUGAUGUGUCAAGUUAGAUUCAUUGAUUGUGACAAAGGUACUUCUUGGGGGUGGGGCUCUCAGGACGUCGAUAGUGGGGGAAACGGGUGGGAGCAGUGUGCAGACAGGGAGUAUAUGGGACCUCUCUGUACUUUCUGCUCAGUUUUCCUGGGAACCUAAAACUGAUCUAAAAAGUCUAUUAAAAAUGACAACAGUGUUCAAGCAUUUUAUUAAAUCAGAUGAGGAAUCUCCACAUUGUUGCACAUACCAGAUUGUAUACAAUUAUAAGGGCAUAUCACUUGUUUACGAAGACACAGCUGAGCAGUAAGUUGACAAGUCUAAUAAACCAUGUUUAGCCAACUAAAAUUUCAAGAACAUUCAAAAGGAAACACAAUAAAGGUCAUGCAAGUUCUAGAAUAGUGAAUCAUGACAAAGCUCACUCAUUUUAUGCUUUACCUUCAAAAUGCACAUGACAUCUAAAACCAGAAAAAAUCUGAAGACCAGUUGGUUGUCACUAGUCAGAUACACAUUUCAUUCAGGAAUAUUAAGCCCUUUACCACUUACCGACUUGUUUGAUUGUAAAUAACUUAGUCCUAACUACAGAAAAGUUUUUUGAAGAGAUUUACUGUUGUAAAAUGUAUGCCCAUUGUUCAUAAUAUGCCUUGAAGUCACUGAACUUUCAUUAAAAUACAA